RNAcentral lists this long non-coding RNA (2535 nucleotides) under Mustela putorius furo (domestic ferret). Its description in RNAcentral is "lncRNA (ENSMPUG00000025475.1)". Lineage: Eukaryota; Metazoa; Chordata; Mammalia; Carnivora; Mustelidae. The record is from RNAcentral.
AUGGUUUUCAGGACUGGUGGGAGGCAUACCUGUACCCUAAAAUCAAUAAUGACUUGCAAAGAUAUGUUUACUUUGACUUUAGUUCUAUUGGAAUUCUGUAACCUUGGGCAGUUCUCAAAUAUAUUUUUUCUGAAGGGCAAAGUCAAGAGGUUCCCCAUUCCCUCUCCUCCUCUUAGGAAUAGAGAUAGAGGACCAUCAGAAACAGGACAAAGCUGCUGCUCUGCAGGUUCUGAGAAUUUCAACUUGUGGGACUUUCAUGCUAUGGAAGUGAGCCUGGCAACAGAUUCCUCAGCCCCAGUCUGACCUUGAGAUGACUGCGAACUUGGGGAAGACUUUGAACCACAGGUACCCCACUAAGAGGUCUGGACUCCUGGCCAGUAGAAACUGUGAGUUAAUAUUUGUUAUUGUAAGCUACUAAGUUUGGGGAUAAUUUGCUAUAUUGCAACAAUACAACUGCUAAACUAUACUGGGUUGUUUUGUUUUGUUUUGUUUAUUUUAAAUAAUACAAGAUAUUACAAUGAAAAUUUGUAUUUCUUUCUUUUGUAAUUUUUAUUUUUUUAUUGUAUUAUGUUAGUUACCAUACAGUACAUCAUUAGUUUUUGAUGUAGUGUUCCAUGAUUCAUUUUUUGUGCGUAACACCCAGUGCUCCAUGCAACAUGUGUCCUCCUUAAUACACAAAGAGAAUUUGCCUUUCUUAAUAAUGCCUGUAGUUAGCAGCAGCACUUAGCUAUUUGUGGUGCCUGUAGUGAUGGCUUAUUCCAAGCAAGUCUUUUUUUUUCCUUUUUAAACAGAAUUACUUCUGUAACAACUUCAUGAUUGAUUUUUUUAAAAUGUAUCAAAGACUCUGAAAUUCUAAAUUUCUUCACUGCUUCCUGAUAUUGAAUUCUUCUCUCAAAGAAACCCAUUUGUCAUGCCUAACUCACUGGGAUUAUGUGGACAACUUUUGGUUACUGAGGAGUGAUCAUUCUGUACGGUAUAGGCUCCAUGAGAUUGUGUAGUAUGAAGAAUCACUGGUAGGGUGACCCAGCCUGCCUUUCCCAUCUGGUGUUUUCAGUGUCUUUUUUUUUUUUCCACUUUCUUUUUUCUUUUUCAUGUGUGUAUGUGUGUGUGUGUGUGUGUGUGUGUGAGAGAGAGAGAGAGAGAAUCUGUGUGUGUGUCUGUGUAUAGGCUAUCUAGUUAUAAUCUUCUCAUCUGGUACAAUGAACAUAUUCUGACCUGAAACUUCCCCCUAGAUUCCUACAAAAUGAUCAAAUGAUUUUCAUUCAGGUUCAUUAAAUUUUUUUGUACUUAUCAGGUUAGCUUAGAAAUGGUGAGGGACUAUUAUGGUCUUGUCCAUCUGAUUUGUACAUAUUGUUAAUGAAUUUGAGCUAAGAAACUCUCUAACAUAUUUAUCAAUAGAAGCCAAGGAUGUAUAUGAACCAUGAGCUAUCAGCCUCUGUUUCUUCAGUCUUUGCCCCAUAAUCACAAGAGAAUCCCCUCCUUUGAGGAUUUGCCAUCACAAUUUUGGACAUCCAGGAGGGCCCCUCCACCAUUCAGAACAUUUAGUAAUCGUGGUUAUGCCAACUGAUACUCUUGUGCAGGAGCAAGACACUUACCUAGUGGGUGGACACCUGAACAUCAGCCCAACAUCAAUAUGUUAAUGCUUUGCAGCAGGCAUAUUUUAUAGAGGAAUCCUAUGUGGCAGUGGUAUUUAUAAAUUGAUGUGGUCUUAGAAACAUCUCUGAGUACCAAGGGGCCAGUAAACCUGUUUGGUUUUGUUGUUCUUUUGUUUAUCCUCAAAGUCCUUUGGCUUGGAUCAUGUUUAGUUUGCCAUCGAGCCUGGAGAUUGUUCAUUCUAUGAAAAUACCUUUUCCUUGCUCUUUUUAAAUAAAAGAUGCAAAAGUUUACUUAAAUUAUAUGUGUGUGUGCAUGUGUGUUAACCAUGCCUUGUUGGGGCAGGGCUUCAGUUUUUUACAUUCUUACCCAUCAGCCUUGCCACUGCCCUCAAAUGACUUUAGAUUCAAAAGCUGAUUUACCAAGGGUUACCUGAGUGUCUCCAUCGGUUAGGUGUUAGACUCUUGAUCUUAGCUCAGAUCUUGAUCUCAGGGUCAUGAGUUCAUGCCCAGUGUGGAGUCUACUUACAAAAAAAAAAAAAAAGGCUGACGUACCAAAGAUAGAGCGAUGGUUACAUCAUUUCACCAAGAGUAACCAAGGUGAAUACUUCGUAAGCAACUGUUGACCCUACAUCUGAUGCCAAAAUUUCAAACACCAUGAGACAGCAUUGGAAGACGUCCAGUGAAAGUUGUUAGUUUGGAGCACUGAGGGCCUAGGGUUGCUUUACAGGAUUUAUAUGGCACAUGAGGGUUGAUAAGGGCAAACAAUUUUUUGAUGAAUAAAGCAAAAAGCUUGUUUUGUAAGUGAGAAGUCAAAUAGAAGAGGCAACUUUCGUGUCCCUGAAACAGGGCCAGCCUCCAAAGGACAUUUGUCUCCAGGCCUGACGGCAAGGCCUUAGGAAGACAGCCUCAUCCAUCUGCCACUUGAAAUCCUCUGAUAUAG